Molecule: ribosomal RNA, 483 nt
Filed under: uncultured bacterium
Lineage: Bacteria
Description: partial 16S ribosomal RNA
Rfam family: Bacterial small subunit ribosomal RNA
Source: RNAcentral
UUGAACGCUGGCGGCAGGCCUAACACAUGCAAGUCGAGCGGAUGAAGGGAGCUUGCUCCUGGAUUCAGCGGCGGACGGGUGAGUAAUGCCUAGGAAUCUGCCUGGUAGUGGGGGAUAACGUCCGGAAACGGUCGCUAAUACCGCAUACGUCCUGAGGGAGAAAGUGGGGGAUCUUCGGACCUCACGCUAUCAGAUGAGCCUAGGUCGGAUUAGCUAGUUGGUGGGGUAAAGGCCUACCAAGGCGACGAUCCGUAACUGGUCUGAGAGGAUGAUCAGUCACACUGGAACUGAGACACGGUCCAGACUCCUACGGGAGGCAGCAGUGGGGAAUAUUGGACAAAGGGCGAAAGCCUGAUCCAGCCAUGCCGCGUGUGUGAAGAAGGUCUUCGGAUUGUAAAGCACUUUAAGUUGGGAGGAAGGGCAGUAAGUUAAUACCUUGCUGUUUUGACGUUACCAACAGAAUAAGCACCGGCUAACUUCGUG